GAUGAACGCUAGCUACAGGCUUAACACAUGCAAGUCGAGGGGUAACGAGAGGAAAGCUUGCUUUCCUUGUCGACGACCGGCGCACGGGUGAGUAACGCGUAUCCAACCUGCCCCCAACUAGGGAAUAACCUUGCGAAAGUAAGACUAAUACCCUAUAAUUUCCUCAGAUGUCAUCUGACGAGGAAUAAAGAUUUAUCGGUUGUGGAUGGGGAUGCGUCUGAUUAGCUUGUUGGCGGGGUAACGGCCCACCAAGGCAACGAUCAGUAGGGGUUCUGAGAGGAAGGUACCCCACAUUGGAACGGAGACACGGUCCAAACUCCUACGGGAGGCAGCAGUGAGGAAUAUUGGUCAAUGGGCGGAAGCCUGAACCAGCCAAGUAGCGUGCAGGAUGACGGCCUUAUGGGUUGUAAACUGCUUUUAUACAGGAAUAAAGUUAGCCACGUGUGGUUAUUUGUAGGUACUGUAUGAAUAAGGACCGGCUAAUUCCGUGCCAGCCGCCGCAGUAA
RNAcentral lists this ribosomal RNA (506 nucleotides) under uncultured bacterium. RNAcentral describes it as "partial 16S ribosomal RNA". It matches the Rfam family "Bacterial small subunit ribosomal RNA", at positions 28 to 523 of the family's 1533-position model. The record is from RNAcentral.